RNAcentral lists this non-coding RNA (29 nucleotides) under Rattus norvegicus (Norway rat). The record is from RNAcentral. Lineage: Eukaryota; Metazoa; Chordata; Mammalia; Rodentia; Muridae.
UGUGCUGAUUGCUUCAGGCUAUUUCAGAC